Molecule: ribosomal RNA, 388 nt
Filed under: uncultured bacterium
Lineage: Bacteria
Description: bacterial SSU rRNA
Rfam family: Bacterial small subunit ribosomal RNA
Source: RNAcentral
AUUAAACGCUGGCGGCAUGCCUUACACAUGCAAGUCGAACGGCAGCACGGGGGGCAACCCUGGUGGCGAGUGGCGGACGGGUGAGUAAAGCAUCGGAACGUAUCCUGGAGUGGGGGAUAACGUAGCGAAAGUUACGCUAAUACCGCAUAUUCUGUGAGCAGGAAAGCAGGGGAUCGCAAGACCUUGCGCUCUGGGAGCGGCCGAUGUCGGAUUAGCUAGUUGGUGGGGUAAAGGCCUACCAAGGCGACGAUCCGUAGCGGGUCUGAGAGGAUGAUCCGCCACACUGGGACUGAGACACGGCCCAGACUCCUACGGGAGGCAGCAGUGGGGAAUUUUGGACAAUGGGCGGAAGCCUGAUCCAGCCAUGCCGCGUGAGUGAAGAAGGCCU